RNAcentral lists this unclassified non-coding RNA (218 nucleotides) under Hevea brasiliensis (rubber tree). Lineage: Eukaryota; Viridiplantae; Streptophyta; Magnoliopsida; Malpighiales; Euphorbiaceae. The record is from RNAcentral.
UUUUCGCAGCUUCGUCAGAGCGCAGCGACAGUAGUUCAUCGCGCAGCGUCAGAAGGCAGCUCGGCUCGAGGCCGACGAUGGGAACCCCGCGCUCGGCGAACGGAAUCAGCGUUUCCACCACGCGCUUGAGUUCGGCUUUUGCAUUCUCGACCAGUCCAGCCGACAGGAAUGUGCGGCCGCAGCAUAGCGGCCGUCCGCCAUCGAUCGCGCGGGGCAGG